AGCGAACGCUGGCGGCAGGCCUAACACAUGCAAGUCGAACGAACUCUUCGGAGUUAGUGGCGGACGGGUGAGUAACACGUGGGAACGUGCCUUUAGGUUCGGAAUAACUCAGGGAAACGUGUGCUAAUACCGAAUGUGCCCUUCGGGGGAAAGAUUUAUCGCCUUUAGAGCGGCCCGCGUCUGAUUAGCUAGUUGGUGAGGUAAAGGCUCACCAAGGCGACGAUCAGUAGCUGGUCUGAGAGGAUGAUCAGCCACAUUGGGACUGAGACACGGCCCAAACUCCUACGGGAAGCAGCAGUGGGGAAUCUUGCGCAAUGGGCGAAAGCCUGACGCAGCCAUGCCGCGUGAAUGAUGAAGGUCUUAGGAUUGUAAAAUUCUUUCACCGGGGACGAUAAUGACGGUACCCGGAGAAGAAGCCCCGGCUAACUUCGUG
RNAcentral lists this ribosomal RNA (433 nucleotides) under uncultured bacterium. Its description in RNAcentral is "partial 16S ribosomal RNA". It matches the Rfam family "Bacterial small subunit ribosomal RNA", at positions 29 to 507 of the family's 1533-position model. The record is from RNAcentral.